AUUGAACGCUGGCGGCAUGCCUUACACAUGCAAGUCGAACGGCAGCGCGGGAGCAAUCCUGGCGGCGAGUGGCGAACGGGUGAGUAAUAUAUCGGAACGUGCCCAGUAGUGGGGGAUAGCCCGGCGAAAGCCGGAUUAAUACCGCAUGAGACCUGAGGGUGAAAGCGGGGGGAUCGCAAGACCUCGCGCUAUUGGAGCGGCCGAUAUCAGAUUAGCUAGUUGGCGGGGUAAAGGCCCACCAAGGCAACGAUCCGUAGCGGGUCUGAGAGGAUGAUCCGCCACACUGGGACUGAGACACGGCCCAGACUCCUACGGGAGGCAGCAGUGGGGAAUUUUGGACAAUGGGCGCAAGCCUGAUCCAGCCAUGCCGCGUGAGUGAAGAAGGC
Molecule: ribosomal RNA, 386 nt
Filed under: uncultured bacterium
Lineage: Bacteria
Description: bacterial SSU rRNA
Rfam family: Bacterial small subunit ribosomal RNA
Source: RNAcentral